RNAcentral lists this ribosomal RNA (483 nucleotides) under uncultured bacterium. RNAcentral's name for it is "bacterial SSU rRNA". It matches the Rfam family "Bacterial small subunit ribosomal RNA", at positions 27 to 507 of the family's 1533-position model. The record is from RNAcentral.
GAUUGAACGCUGGCGGAAUGCUUUACACAUGCAAGUCGAACGGCAGCACGGGGCAACCUGGUGGCGAGUGGCGAACGGGUGAGUAAUACAUCGGAACGUGCCCAGUCGUGGGGGAUAACGUAGCGAAAGCUACGCUAAUACCGCAUACGAUCUACGGAUGAAAGCGGGGGAUCGCAAGACCUCGCGCGAUUGGAGCGGCCGAUAUCAGAUUAGCUAGUUGGUGGGGUAAAAGCUCACCAAGGCGACGAUCUGUAGCUGGUCUGAGAGGACGACCAGCCACACUGGAACUGAGACACGGUCCAGACUCCUACGGGAGGCAGCAGUGGGGAAUUUUGGACAAUGGGCGCAAGCCUGAUCCAGCAAUGCCGCGUGCAGGAUGAAGGCCUUCGGGUUGUAAACUGCUUUUGUACGGAACGAAACGGUGAGCUCUAAUAAAGCUUGCUAAUGACGGUACCGUAAGAAUAAGCACCGGCUAACUACGUG